CGAUAGAUUAUACAAUGAUAUAUUGGUGUUGGUCAUCAGUGCUAGUGGUGAUCGGUGUUGGUGGUGAUCUUUUUGGUGGUGGUGCUACAUUGAAGUGGAAGAAGAUAGAGUGCGACAGGAAGAAGACAGAGCACAAAAGAGGUUAGUCUCAGAAUCCAAAUAACCGCACUUGGAGGAACGGUUAUGGCUGCCACCUUAAGAAAGGCAUUUCGACACAGCCGCACUUCGUGUUGCGACUGCUGCCAACCGCACUAUGAGUUGCG
This 263-nucleotide long non-coding RNA is filed under the name Vigna radiata. Its description in RNAcentral is "long non-coding RNA (VRAD_LNC007428)". Lineage: Eukaryota; Viridiplantae; Streptophyta; Magnoliopsida; Fabales; Fabaceae. The record is from RNAcentral.